AUCCUCUUUUGUAACCCAGAACUCAUUGUACAGUAUGAGUUUUGAUACAUAUAAGAAGGAAU
Molecule: small nucleolar RNA, 62 nt
Filed under: Castor canadensis (American beaver)
Lineage: Eukaryota; Metazoa; Chordata; Mammalia; Rodentia; Castoridae
Description: Small nucleolar RNA SNORA40 (ENSCCNG00000016801.1)
Rfam family: Small nucleolar RNA SNORA40
About the family: The snoRNA ACA 40 belongs to the H/ACA family of snoRNAs and guides the pseudouridylation of 28S rRNA subunit at position U4565. NB This family has a high threshold value to exclude a large number of closely related sequences that do not appear to have conserved H and ACA boxes, and may be pseudogenes.
Source: RNAcentral